This is a ribosomal RNA of Cricetulus griseus (Chinese hamster), 91 nucleotides long. Lineage: Eukaryota; Metazoa; Chordata; Mammalia; Rodentia; Cricetidae. The record is from Ensembl.
AUCUACAGUCAUACUACCCUGAACAUUACUUGGUCUCAGAUGGUAAGCAUUUGGAUGGGAGAUCAACUGUGAAUACUGGUUGCUGUAGGAU